Molecule: long non-coding RNA, 1385 nt
Organism: Triplophysa rosa
Lineage: Eukaryota; Metazoa; Chordata; Actinopteri; Cypriniformes; Nemacheilidae
Exons: 4
Source: RefSeq, a predicted model, not a curated record
CACAUUUACCAAUAACUCAAGGUUUGUGGGUGUGUUUUGUGUGUUUGCAGUUGUAUUUAAAGCAGCAGACGAGUCUCUCUCUAUCAGACUGAUCCAGACGUCCAUCAGAUCCACUGCUGUCAUCCACACUUCUCCACCUACAGUUUGUAAAAACCAGCACUCGAGGGCGCACGAUCAAAACAACAAUGGCGUAGCUUGAUGACGCUGUGAAGGAGCGUGGAAUGAUGGGAUCUGUUGUCUUCAACUCCACCGCUGAUGGCCAUCAAUCAGACGGGAACGAGAAAUCAUGUUAGCGGAUGAGAGUGACACUGAAAAUGGGUGCUUCAUAUUGGUCACAAUUUCAACAAACUAAAGAGGAGAAUAAAAGACUCCAGGAAGAACUGGAUCAAACUAAAAAAGAAGAAGAAGAACAGAGAAAAGAAAACGAGAAGAAAACGAGAGAACUGGAUGAUUUUAAAAUAAGAGCAGAAGAAAAAAGAAAAAUUGAUGAGUACAACAGAGCUAGAGAGCAAGACGAAAAGAAAAGAAUCCAAGCAAACAAAAAAUGACGAAACAAACCGACACCUAAUGUGCAACAACCUAAUACAACAGUACAUAGGGACCUUUAAAACGGCUAUACAUGCAAGAUAUUUGUUUUUUAUUUUGAAUCAUCAGCGUUCUUGAUUUUCUUGUUCCAGAAGGAUGACAAAUUGUGUUUUCUCUGCUUCUGUAUGCUUCUGUAACUCCUAGACAUCAUCUGGAUGCCCUUCAUUUAAAGCAUUGUAUUUUCUUUUAUGAUGUGUUAAGCUGUAUCGCUGUCAGAUGCUGUUUCCUUGUUGCAUUGGUGUAAAAACAACAACAAAUACAAGUUUGUAUGGCCAUUCACCCAGUAAUUAAAGAAAAAAAAAUUCUGAAAUCCAGACCAGUGUGCUUUUUUUAGUAAUUGUGCUUAUUCUUAUUUUGAUAAGAAAUUAUUCAAAGCUUGAAGCAUGCAAAGAUCCUCUAUGUCUGACAAAAAAAAAAUCUUAACGCAUUUGGCAAACAACAUAUGUGGCUGUGAAACACAAAUACUUACAAUAUAUUUUAAGGACCAGGUUUGUUGUUGUCCAUUUCUAUUUUUGUUUCAUUUUAAACAGUCUCAGAGAAGAGUUAAAGUGUAAAAGAGUUACUAAUUAAACAAAUUCAUAUUUACACACAUAUAAUUUAUGUUCUAGAAAGGAAAGCCAUAUUUCAGAACAGAGGCCAUAACCAGCUUCAUCAGAAACAUGUCCGACAAUGAGACCAUUGAACUGUCUUGUCUUGGCCGACCGUUUCAGUUGGGAAUGCUGUAUGACUGCAGAAAGGAUUCUCUCAUUCCAGGAAUAACUCUCUGGGACCCCAAGGUGCUGCAAAAUAAUAUUAAUGUA